This 95-nucleotide ribosomal RNA is filed under the name uncultured bacterium. RNAcentral describes it as "partial 16S ribosomal RNA". It matches the Rfam family "Bacterial small subunit ribosomal RNA", at positions 1390 to 1482 of the family's 1533-position model. The record is from RNAcentral.
CCGCCCGUCACACCAUGGGAGUUGGAUUCACUCGAAGGCGUUGAGCUAACCCGCAAGGGAGGCAGGCGACCACAGUGGGUUUAGCGACUGGGGUG